UGCAAGGGUUAUUGGAUCUGAUAGAUCCGU
This 30-nucleotide small RNA is filed under the name Bombyx mori (domestic silkworm). RNAcentral's name for it is "ovarian small RNA-33366". The record is from RNAcentral. Lineage: Eukaryota; Metazoa; Arthropoda; Insecta; Lepidoptera; Bombycidae.